This 200-nucleotide ribosomal RNA is filed under the name uncultured Ascomycota. Its description in RNAcentral is "partial 18S ribosomal RNA". The stretch from base 146 to 200 matches the Rfam family "5.8S ribosomal RNA", at positions 1 to 55 of the family's 154-position model. Lineage: Eukaryota; Fungi; Ascomycota. The record is from RNAcentral.
AAUAGACUCGACGAGUUUCGGGCUUCGGCUCGACUCUCCCCCCUUUGUGAACGUACCUCUGUUGCUUUGGCGGCUCCGGCCGCCAAAGGACCUCCAAACUCCAGUCAGUAAACGCAGACGUCUGAUAAACAAGUUAAUAAACUAAAACUUUCAACAACGGAUCUCUUGGUUCUGGCAUCGAUGAAGAACGCAGCAGCUUG